CGGACGGGUGAGUAACGCGUGGGCAACCUGCCUUACACAGGGGGAUAACACUUAGAAAUAGGUGCUAAAACCGCAUAAGCGCACAGCUUCGCAUGAAGCGGUGUGAAAAACUCUGGUGGUAUACGAUGGUUCCGCGUCUGAUUAGCUAGUUGGUGGGGUAAUGGCCUACCAAGGCAACGAUCAGUAGCCGGCCUGAGAGGGUGAACGGCCACAUUGGGACUGAGACACGGCCCAAACUCCUACGGAAGGCAGCAG
RNAcentral lists this ribosomal RNA (255 nucleotides) under uncultured bacterium. Its description in RNAcentral is "partial 16S ribosomal RNA". It matches the Rfam family "Bacterial small subunit ribosomal RNA", at positions 99 to 354 of the family's 1533-position model. The record is from RNAcentral.